UACGAAGGGGCUAGCGUUGCUCGGAAUUACUGGGCGUAAAGGGCGCGUAGGCGGACAGUUUAGUCAGAGGUGAAAGCCCAGGGCUCAACCUUGGAAUUGCCUUUGAUACUGGCUGUCUUGAGUUCGGGAGAGGUGAGUGGAAUGCCGAGUGUAGAGGUGAAAUUCGUAGAUAUUCGGCGGAACACCAGUGGCGAAGGCGACUCACUGGCCCGAUACUGACGCUGAGGCGCGAAAAGCGUGGGGAGCAAACAGGGAAUUAAGAA
This 263-nucleotide ribosomal RNA is filed under the name uncultured bacterium. RNAcentral describes it as "partial 16S ribosomal RNA". It matches the Rfam family "Bacterial small subunit ribosomal RNA", at positions 524 to 784 of the family's 1533-position model. The record is from RNAcentral.